CAAAAUAAUUUGACCUUCUACAAUAUAUAUGAAGAUAUAAGAAAUAGGGAAGUUGAAGAGACUUCUAGCUUGUUCUUGUGCUCCAUCAAUGUUGUCUCUUUUUAUUACAUUGCUCUAAAUCCAUGAACUCGACUUCUUUUCUUCCCUAGUGAUACCAGUGACCAAUCGAGUCCACCAUUCUUUUGUGGUUGUUUUUCUUUCACUAACUAAAGGUACUAACUUAAUGAGUCCACCAAUCUUCCACUCAAUAGGUUGAAUCUCAAAGGGAUUAAUGCCACCAUUUGAGCUUAGAUAUGGGAAUUCAUCAGUAUUAUAACUCGGUUGGGGUAGCAAAAUACAAGCUAACUUUGAUGGCGAUAUUUUGUGUUCAUCUGCAAUCAGUUUCAUCCUAUCACGCGGUACAUCUAUUUUUCAACCUUCUAAUGAUGAAAUAUAAUUGAAGAAGGACUAAUAAAAUAUCAAUUUCCUAUCUCAAAACUCUACACCCUUAUCUGAACUUUGUUGAGUUUGAGGUGUUUCUACACAAGACACUCUAAAUCUCAUGAAUGUCAUGAAAACUCACUUAAUGAAGACUUCUUCAAAUCAAUAACAACAUAUCUGAUGAGUUAGAGAAUGUAAUCUCCUUUCCUUAUUCCAUGAUGUGUGCUGCUCGAGUGAUUACCAAGCUGGAAUCUUCUGAAACAAUAGCUCUUGAUAGGUACAAUGACGAAUGAAGCUAAAAUGCCUAGUUGGGUUAAAUCCAUCAUAGAAAGGCUUGAUGCCAUCGAUAGUCAAAUAAUGGACAGAAUGGAAGGGAGAUUGGAAGGGACGGAAGACUUUGCAAGAAGUUGAAUAACUUGAUGGAGCAUCAAAGCCUUCCUAAUCAAAUUUCCGUGAGUGGUCAUACUAUACACAAGGUAAUCAAACUUACUUUUGCACUCUAGUGAAUAGGGAUAAUAACAAACUAAGUAUGAAUGAUAGUUUGUCUUUAAGUGAGCCGAAUGUGCCUUUAUUUUGUGAUGAUAAUGUACAACUUGAAAUUGUGGAUAUACUAGUUGAUCCACCUAAUGUUAAAUCCAUUGUGUCAAGUGAUUGUACAUUGUCUUAUGGAAGUCAUGACAACCAACUUAUGUGUGAAAAUGGUGAUGUUGAACAAGUUGGUCGAUUGACUAAAGAUGACCCUCUAGUUGUUUUUAUUGUAAAUCAUCCUAGCAUAGAGGGGAUAUGUGAUUGUAUUGGUGGUAGUCUCGAGGAAAGGAAGCAUGUCCUCCACCCAUGUCCAUGGAUACCCUACCCCUUUGAUCCCAUUGAUCACUUGAGGUGUGGUUUUGAUUCAUUUCAAACCAUAUUCGGGAAUGACAUGUGUGCAUUGUGUAAGCAUGAUUAUGUUGAUGCUAAACAUGUCUUGUAUGUAAUUCGGGUUUCCUGGUGUAUCAUUUUUGAGAACCCGAGGGAUGUUUGGGUAAACGUGAAGUUUGAGCCACCUUAGCAUAAUGUUAUGAUUCAUUACACUAACCCUAACCCUCAUACCUUGAGAAACUUGUGUUUGUUUGUCCUUUCUAUCAUUUUGCAAGGUUCAGAUUCGAGGACGAAUCCUUUCUAAGGAGGGGAGGAUGAUACGGGUCAAAGAGGCAUCUUAGCACUCGAGGACAUAAAGACGUGAGUGAAGACCCGAUCUUGUAGGGCUGCCUAUCUAAGAAACAAACUUUGAAGUGUAGAGAACAAGUCCCACACUCCAAAGUUGUUACUGUUCAUCCGUCACUGUUCAUCCGCCCCUUUGUAAGGGUUUUUUGGUCAUUUGUAAUAAGUUGUCCUAGCUAUAAAUAUAACCUUAUUAGGUCAUUUUGGGGGAAAUUUUUGGAGAAUAUAUUUUGUAGCCUUUUUGAGAGUCUUUAGUAAGGUGGAAUCCUUGGACAAUAUGGAAUCCUUGUGUUGAUCAUUUGCUUAGAAACGGAGAUUACUUGAAAAUUUUAAUUCUCUUGAGGUCACGUAAGAGAUAGUUUUAGGUUGUGUGUGAUA
This is a long non-coding RNA of Capsicum annuum, 1998 nucleotides long. RefSeq lists it as uncharacterized. Lineage: Eukaryota; Viridiplantae; Streptophyta; Magnoliopsida; Solanales; Solanaceae. The transcript has 3 exons. The record is from RefSeq and is a predicted model, not a curated record.